AGAACGAACGCUGGCGGCAGGCUUAACACAUGCAAGUCGAACGCGUGUAGCAAUACACGAGUGGCGCACGAGUGAGUAACGCGUGGAUAUCUGCCUUUUGGUUCGGAAUAACCCCGGGAAACUGGGGCUAAUACCGGAUGGUUCCUACGGGAUAAAGAUUUAUCGCCAAAAGAUGAGUCCGCGUACGAUUAGCUAGUUGGUGAGGUAAUGGCUCACCAAGGCGACGAUCGUUAGCUGGUCUGAGAGGACGAUCAGCCACACUGGGACUGAGACACGGCCCAGACUCCUACGGGAGGCAGCAGUGGGGAAUAUUGGACAAUGGGGGCAACCCUGAUCCAGCCAUGCCGCGUGAGUGAUGAAGGCCUUCGGGUUGUAAAGCUCUUUUGGCGGGGACGAUGAUGACGGUACCGCAGAAUAAGCCCCGGCUAACUUCGUGCCAGCAGCCGC
RNAcentral lists this ribosomal RNA (447 nucleotides) under uncultured bacterium. RNAcentral's name for it is "SSU rRNA". It matches the Rfam family "Bacterial small subunit ribosomal RNA", at positions 26 to 518 of the family's 1533-position model. The record is from RNAcentral.